AUAUAACAGGUCAUGGAAGUACCCACUCUCAUAAUUGAACAAAAAAAUCUAAGUUUGAUACAUAACAGAAGAAGAAAAAGAGCAAGAGAAACAAUCAAAGAAGAGUUCCUGAAUCCUACUGGACCUUGUAUCUCCUCUUUGACACUCAAGAAUUAGAAAAAAAUAUGUAUGUGUUGGCUUCUAAUUCACCAUUCUGCCACGUCCACUCACCCGCCCACAGUGGGAUAUAGAGAAAAUGUUUUCAAGGGACUGAUUGCGCAUUAGUUCCUGAAAAGAAAAGAUGCCAUUCUUUUAGGCUGGGCUUGAUCAUGAAGGCACUCUGAAGGAGUAGAAUGUGGUGGUUGGUGGAGAACUGACUGUCAGAGAGAAUCAGGUUAAGAAUCUCUGCUUAUUGAUCACUGCACCUUUCUCCUCCUAAACUAAAGACAAAGUGAUCUUGGAAAGGGAAUUUUUUUCCUUUUGACUAUUUCUAAUUAACCCAAAAGAAUAUUUCUCAGUAUGAAGGACUAAUAAAGCCUGAUGGAUCAGCCA
RNAcentral lists this long non-coding RNA (531 nucleotides) under Oryctolagus cuniculus (rabbit). Its description in RNAcentral is "lncRNA (ENSOCUG00000037807.1)". The record is from RNAcentral. Lineage: Eukaryota; Metazoa; Chordata; Mammalia; Lagomorpha; Leporidae.